RNAcentral lists this ribosomal RNA (206 nucleotides) under uncultured bacterium. RNAcentral describes it as "partial 16S ribosomal RNA". It matches the Rfam family "Bacterial small subunit ribosomal RNA", at positions 568 to 773 of the family's 1533-position model. The record is from RNAcentral.
CACGCAGGCGGUCUGUCAAGUCGGAUGUGAAAUCCCCGGGCUCAACCUGGGAACUGCAUUCGAAACUGGCAGGCUAGAGUCUUGUAGAGGGGGGUAGAAUUCCAGGUGUAGCGGUGAAAUGCGUAGAGAUCUGGAGGAAUACCGGUGGCGAAGGCGGCCCCCUGGACAAAGACUGACGCUCAGGUGCGAAAGCGUGGGGAGCAAAC